AGUUUGAUCCUGGCUCAGGAUGAACGCUAGCUACAGGCUUAACACAUGCAAGUCGAGGGGAAACGACAUCGAAAGCUUGCUUUUGAUGGGCGUCGACCGGCGCACGGGUGAGUAACGCGUAUCCAACCUGCCCAUCACUUGGGGAUAACCUUGCGAAAGUAAGACUAAUACCCAAUGAUAUCUCUAGAAGACAUCUGAAAGAGAUUAAAGAUUUAUCGGUGAUGGAUGGGGAUGCGUCUGAUUAGCUUGUUGGCGGGGUAACGGCCCACCAAGGCGACGAUCAGUAGGGGUUCUGAGAGGAAGGUCCCCCACAUUGGAACUGAGACACGGUCCAAACUCCUACGGGAGGCAGCAGUGAGGAAUAUUGGUCAAUGGGCGAGAGCCUGAACCAGCCAAGUAGCGUGCAGGAUGACGGCCCUAUGGGUUGUAAACUGCUUUUAUAAGGGAAUAAAGUGAGUCUCGUGAGAUUUUUUGCAUGUACCUUAUGAAUAAGGACCGGCUAAUUCCGUGCCAGCAGCCGCGGUAAUACGGAAGGUCCGGGCGUUAUCCGGAUUUAUUGGGUUUAAAGGGAGCGCAGGCCGGAGAUUAAGCGUGUUGUGAAAUGUAGACGCUCAACGUCUGCACUGCAGCGCGAACUGGUUUCCUUGAGUACGCACAAAGUGGGCGGAAUUCGUGGUGUAGCGGUGAAAUGCUUAGAUAUCACGAAGAACUCCGAUUGCGAAGGCAGCUCACUGGAGCGCAACUGACGCUGAAGCUCGAAAGUGCGGGUAUCGAACAGGAUUAGAUACCCUGGUAGUCCGCACGGUAAACGAUGGAUGCCCGCUGUUGGUCUGAAUAGGUCAGCGGCCAAGCGAAAGCAUUAAGCAUCCCACCUGGGGAGUACGCCGGCAACGGUGAAACUCAAAGGAAUUGACGG
RNAcentral lists this ribosomal RNA (916 nucleotides) under uncultured bacterium. RNAcentral describes it as "bacterial SSU rRNA". It matches the Rfam family "Bacterial small subunit ribosomal RNA", at positions 10 to 916 of the family's 1533-position model. The record is from RNAcentral.